Non-coding RNA from Acanthosepion pharaonis, 113 nucleotides. Lineage: Eukaryota; Metazoa; Mollusca; Cephalopoda; Sepiida; Sepiidae. The record is from the annotation of a GenBank genome assembly.
UACAGCCAUAUCACAUUGAAACACAGAUUCCUCUACAAUCACUGAAGUUAAGCAAUGUUGAGCCUGGUCAGUACUUAGAUGGGUGACUGCUUAGGAAUAUUAGGUGCUGUAAG